This 1202-nucleotide long non-coding RNA is filed under the name Apteryx rowi (Okarito brown kiwi). Its description in RNAcentral is "lncRNA (ENSARWG00000001432.1)". Lineage: Eukaryota; Metazoa; Chordata; Aves; Apterygiformes; Apterygidae. The record is from RNAcentral.
UUUAUUUUCUCUUUCCAUUAAAUGCCAUUGAUUUGCAAGUGCAAUGUUUGAUUGCAGCCAAGGGCUUUAACUGACUGUACUUGGUUUUCUUUCACCUUGCUCCUUUUCUUUUUUGAAGAUUGUUUAUUUGCUUGUUCCUCUGCGUGCUCUGAGCUUGCCUAGGCAUCUAAAAGUUUAUUUUAUGGCAUGUAGGAAAAGGGACAGAGGAAAUCUCACAGGUUUCCUUGAUGGAAUUUCCAACAAAUUCCCUACUGGGUUGGAAAGGUGCAGAGAUGGGCUCCUGGAGUCUGCAGGCUUUUUGGAUGUCCCCGCGGAGCCGGCGCUGCGGGGCGGCGGGAGCGGAGGGYCCCUCCGGCGCCCGCGGCUGCAGCCAGGCUCUGCGCGCGGCGGGACGUGGGGGUUCGAAUGCCUCGGUGGCCACCUGCGGCCUUAAUGGGGAGCUCGCUAGGGACAAGUCGGAAAAACGUGGAGCUGCUAAAAAUCCUUUCAAAGCUGCGUGUGGGAUUUGGUGUCUUUGCUCCUUUGGUAGAUACCGGGUGGCCGAAUCCCACCGGCAACUUCAGAGAUUGUGUCUUAGAAGCUUGUCUGGGUGCGCAUCCGAGAACGUCCUUGCUUUUCCUUGGACUCGGCAGUAGUCAACCUACUUGACUAGAUAUUCUAAAUCUGACCAUGCUGAAUCCAAAUGUUAUCUAAAAUGUUUUCCUUUAAAAUCAGAUCUGGUGAGCUCAAGGGGAUCAGAUUUAAAAUUCUUAGUAUCAGGCAAGCGCAUCCGAGAGGAAGGCAGCUUCAGGCUCCCAGAGACUGUCUGUAUCAGCAUUUCCCAGCCUUUUUUAAUGGAAGGAUCACCCAUCCUUUCUGGAAAAAAAAAUCCUGGACCGUUUCACAUACACAAAAGGGAGCYGCCUACACCUGCAGGCAGUCGCUGGCAGCAUCCAGGAACGGGCUCCCAACUCCGUCUGCCAGCACCGGCACACCUCUGCCAGCAGUGUGGGAAUGCCUGUGCACUUUCUUUUUUUCAUCUUUUAAAUGAGAUUGUUCAUGGACCAGUUUCUGGGUUUUGACAGAACAGCAGGGGUCUGCAGCCCACAGGCUGAGUAAUACUGAUCUAAACAGCCUGCAGUGGUUAGGGUGCCUUAACCGGGUCACAAUUCACUACUCUCAUACUGUUUUAUUAACUGUCAUCUGUCUUUAUCUAAAUUGAC